This is a non-coding RNA of Kwoniella shivajii, 95 nucleotides long. The record is from the annotation of a RefSeq genome assembly. NCBI's taxonomy places the organism in Eukaryota, Fungi, Basidiomycota, Tremellomycetes, Tremellales, Cryptococcaceae.
GGUUGCGUGAUGGAGUUGGUCACCAUACCUGUUUAACAGAAGAUUUCUUAUCUGCGAUUCACAGGAGGUCGGCGGUUCGAUCCCGCCCGGAAUCA